Molecule: ribosomal RNA, 495 nt
Filed under: uncultured bacterium
Lineage: Bacteria
Description: partial 16S ribosomal RNA
Rfam family: Bacterial small subunit ribosomal RNA
Source: RNAcentral
GACGAACGCUGGCGGCGUGCCUAAUACAUGCAAGUAGAACGCUGAAGGAGGAGCUUGCUUCUCUGGAUGAGUUGCGAACGGGUGAGUAACGCGUAGGUAACCUGCCUGGUAGCGGAGGAUAACUAUUGGAAACGAUAGCUAAUACCGCAUAAGAGUAGAUGUUGCAUGACAUUUGCUUAAAAGGUGCAAUUGCAUCACUACCAGAUGGACCUGCGUUGUAUUAGCUAGUUGGUGGGGUAACGGCUCACCAAGGCGACGAUACAUAGCCGACCUGAGAGGGUGAUCGGCCACACUGGGACUGAGACACGGCCCAGACUCCUACGGGAGGCAGCAGUAGGGAAUCUUCGGCAAUGGACGGAAGUCUGACCGAGCAACGCCGCGUGAGUGAAGAAGGUUUUCGGAUCGUAAAGCUCGGUUGUAAGAGAAGAACGAGUGUGAGAGUGGAAAGUUCACACUGUGACGGUAUCUUACCAGAAAGGGACGGCUAACUACGUG